GAUGAAGAACGCAGCGAAAUGUGAUAAGUAAUGUGAAUUGCAGAAUUCAGUGAAUCAUCGAAUCUUUGAACGCACAUUGCGCCCGCCAGUAUUCUGGCGGGCAUGCCUGUCCGAGCGUCAUUUCAACCAUCAAGCCCCGGGCUUGUGUUGGGGACCUGCGUCCGACGCAGGCCCUGAAAACCAGUGGCGGGCUCGCUGUCCACACCGAGCGUAGUAACUAACCUCGCUAUGGAGUGGCGCGGGCGCCUGCCGUAAAACCCCCAAUUUCACAAGGUUGACCUCGGAUCAGGAAGGAAUACCCGCUGAACUUAAGCAUAUCAAUAAGCGGAGGA
This 332-nucleotide unclassified non-coding RNA is filed under the name soil metagenome. RNAcentral's name for it is "partial contains 5.8S ribosomal RNA, internal transcribed spacer 2, and large subunit ribosomal RNA". The stretch from base 1 to 120 matches the Rfam family "5.8S ribosomal RNA", at positions 35 to 154 of the family's 154-position model. The record is from RNAcentral.